This 53-nucleotide microRNA precursor is filed under the name Equus caballus (horse). Its description in RNAcentral is "mir-1302 microRNA precursor family". It matches the Rfam family "mir-1302 microRNA precursor family". The record is from Rfam by way of RNAcentral. Lineage: Eukaryota; Metazoa; Chordata; Mammalia; Perissodactyla; Equidae.
UUUUUAGUAUAAGUAUACACCCAUGCAAUAUUUGGGAUAUACUUAUACUAAAA